ACUGUCCCUAGAGACCUUACAGAUACCUGCCCCAUGUACUUCAGUAGAUGGCAGAGAGGAGAGAGGCCAUGUCUGUGCUCAGUGUUCUGGACUAGGAACAUUUGAGGUACGCGCAGCCUGACAUU
This is a small nucleolar RNA of Peromyscus maniculatus bairdii (prairie deer mouse), 125 nucleotides long. The record is from Ensembl. Lineage: Eukaryota; Metazoa; Chordata; Mammalia; Rodentia; Cricetidae.